CUAAGGGACGACAUCAAAAGUUCAAUGUAGGAUAAAAAAAUUAAUUCACAUAGAUUUUUCACUGACCCCCCACCCCCCCCCCCCCUCUUAACUUAAUUUGGGAAAAAUUGAUUUACCUAUAUGGAUAUAUGUAAAAUCGAUUUUGGAUUAACAAAACUUGCAGCAAUGUUGACCCCCCACCCCCAAACUAUUUGAUUUAAGUUUUUUAUCCUACAUCGAUCUUUUGAUGUCGUCCCUAACAUA
This 243-nucleotide long non-coding RNA is filed under the name Mytilus galloprovincialis (Mediterranean mussel). Lineage: Eukaryota; Metazoa; Mollusca; Bivalvia; Mytilida; Mytilidae. The record is from RNAcentral.